AAUAGAUACCCGGUAGUCCACGCCGUAAACGAUGAGUGCUAAGUGUUAGGGGGUUUCCGCCCCUUAGUGCUGCAGCUAACGCAUUAAGCACUCCGCCUGGGGAGUACGGUCGCAAGACUGAAACUCAAAGGAAUUGACGGGGGCCCGCACAAGCGGUGGAGCAUGUGGUUUAAUUCGAAGCAACGCGAAGAACUUUACCAGGUCUUGACAUCCCACUGACCGCUAUGGAGACAUAGUUUUCCCUUCGGGGACAGUGGUGACAGGUGGUGCAUGGUUGUCGUCAGCUCGUGUCGUGAGAUGUUGGGUUAAGUCCCGCAACGAGCGCAACCCUUGAUCUUAGUUGCCAUCAUUUAGUUGGGCACUCUAAGGUGACUGCCGGUGACAAACCGGAGGAAGGUGGGGAUGACGUCAAAUCAUCAUGCCCCUUAUGACCUGGGCUACACACGUGCUACAAUGGACGGUACAAACGGUUGCCAACCCGCGAGGGGAGCUAAUCCGAUAAAAUCGUUCUCAGUUCGGAUUGUAGGCUGCAACUCGCCUAC
Molecule: ribosomal RNA, 542 nt
Filed under: uncultured bacterium
Lineage: Bacteria
Description: bacterial SSU rRNA
Rfam family: Bacterial small subunit ribosomal RNA
Source: RNAcentral